Molecule: ribosomal RNA, 254 nt
Filed under: uncultured bacterium
Lineage: Bacteria
Description: partial 16S ribosomal RNA
Rfam family: Bacterial small subunit ribosomal RNA
Source: RNAcentral
UACGAAGGGGGCUAGCGUUGCUCGGAAUCACUGGGCGUAAAGCGCACGUAGGCGGGUUCUUAAGUCAGGGGUGAAAUCCUGGAGCUCAACUCCAGAACUGCCUCCGAUACUGGGAGCCUUCGAGUCCGGGAGAGGUGAGUGGAACUGCGAGUGUAGAGGUGAAAUUCGUAGAUAUUCGCAAGAACACCAGUGGCGAAGGCGGCUCACUGGCCCGGUACUGACGCUGAGGUGCGAAAGCGUGGGGAGCAAACAGG